AUGAAAGAUAAUGGGGAAAAUGAGCCAUCGAUGGAUGGUGUUGUGGUGGAUAGUGUUGUGAUGGAUAAUGUUGUGAUGGAUAAUGUUGUGAUGGAUAAUGNNNNNNNNNNGAUGGAUAAUGUUGUAGUGGAUGACAUUCCGGAUCAAGAGGAAGUUGUGAAUAAGGAUAGUGUAUACGAAGGUAAAGAUAUUGUCAAAGAUAACAAUAUUGUUGAAGAUAAUAAUAUUGUCGAAGAUAACGAUGUUGUUGAAGAUAAAAAUAUUGUCGANNNNNNNNNNAAUAUUGUCGAAGAUAACGAUGUUGUUGAAGAUAAAAAUAUUGUCGAAGAUAACGAUGUUGUUGAAGAUAAUAAUAUUGUCGAAGAUAACGAUGUUGUUGAAGAUAACGAUGUUAAUAUUAACACAACACAUAAUGAUUUUUCACAAGAUGGAGAGGAUUUGUUUUACAGCGUUUUUAGUUCAGGACACAAUGUAUACGGGGGUCAAGAGUUGAAGGUAUCAAACAAAACUGAAGAAGAAAACACUACCGAAAUAGUUGAUGUGGAUGUUGAGACAAACAAAGAUGAAGUAAUUGAUAUAACCGUCGAAGAAAAUAAAAGUGAAAUAGUUGACAUGGUUGUUGAGACAAACGAAACCGAUAAGAAUAAACAAAUGGUAGAAUAUAAUAAAAGCAAAUCAAAUAUUGAAGAUAAGGAAAAAAAAACAGAUAAAACAGAUAAAACAGAUAAAACAGAUAAAACAGAUAANNNNNNNNNNACAGAUAAAACAGAUAAAACAGAUAAAACAGAUAAAACAGAUAAAACGGAUAAAACAGAUAAAACAGAUAAAACGGAUAAAACAGAUAAAACGGAUGAUAGAAAAACAAAAAUUACAAAAAAGUUACUCAUUAAAAAGAAAAAGAAAAAAAAAGAAAAAAAAAUAAAUGAGCUGUAUAAAAAAUUGUCCAUAUCGAAUUUUAGCUUUUAUCCGUUUAAAGGGAAAAAGAAUAUAAUGAAAAGUAAAAAUUGGCAUGAAAACGAGCAUGUAUAUGAUAGAACAGAUGAACAUAAACAUGAGGAUAAAAAGGAGCAAAUACUCGAACAAAUAGAAGAUCAAACAAAAGAACACACAAACGAGCAUGGAGAGGAGCAAGCAGACGAACACACAAACGAGUAUGGAGAGGAUCAAACAAACGGAGUAAGUAAAAAUGUUAUAAAAGAUAUUAUUAACAAAGAUAAACCUAAAAAAGAGAACAAUAUUCAAAUAGUUUUAAAAAAAAGUAAAGAAAAUUUUGUUAUAGAAAAAGAAAAAAGAAAAAAUGACAUAAAAUAUCAAGAUGAAGAUAUUAAAAAUAAGGGUAUAUAUAAAGAACCUAUAACAAAUGAAAGUGUUUAUACAAUGGAUGAAACAGAAAAGAAAGACUUACCAAAAAUAAUCGAUGCGACAAUAGAACCAGAAAUAAUCGAUAUGACGGAAGAAUCAGAAAUAAUUGAUGCGACAAUAGAACCAGAAAUAAUCGAUGUGACCAUAGAACCAGAAAUAAUUGAUGCGAUGAUAGAACCAGAAAUAAUAAAUACACAAAUAGAAUCUCCAAUGGCAGAUACACAAGCACAGUCCAAAAUGACAGAUGCUCAAGUAGAACCCAAAAUGACAGAUGCUCAAAUAGAAUCCAAAAUGUUAGAUGCACAGAUGGAAGAGUUAUUUAUAUCUGAAUCUGAAUAUGACGGACCAGGAUUAGAAGAACCCGAAAUAGAAAACGUAGAAGGUGAUGCAAGUCCAAAAAACACUUCGAUUAAGUAUGAUAAAAAAGCAGAAGCAUUAAAUAAUUUAAUUAAAAAUGUUGGUGGAUAUUUAUUUAAUACAAAAAGGAAAAGUAAUCAUAAUAUAGAUAGUUAUGAGAUAAAAUUAGAUAAGUAUAGGAAAAAAAUACACAAUUCUAAGAAACAAAUAGAUAGCGAUAGUAACGAACAAAGUGAAAAGAUUGAUAAUAAAAGAAAAAGAGUGAUGCAAUGUGAAAGUAGCAAUAUAUCAGAUAACUUAUUAAAUAAUACAAGUGGAACAAUACUUAAAGAUAUAAAACAAAAUGAUGGGCAAGAUGGUGUUUUAUGUAAUACAACGACAUUACAUAACAAUCUGAUUUAUAAACUUUUUGAUAGUAAAAAAAAGGUAAUUGAUUAUAAUGAUAUAUUAAAAAAAGGACGUGUAAGUAAAAAGCAGAAAACGGAUGUUUGUCGUGUUUUAUCUCUUGAAAAUGAAAAAAGUUGUCCUAUAGAUGAUGGUGGUCCUAUAGUCGAUAGUGGUUCUAUAGACGAUAGUGGUCCAAUAGACAGGGUAAAUAUUGCUUUAGUGUGCUCUCUUAAAAUUAGCAAUGUAUCAGCAGGUUCAGAUAAUUACUCCAUUUACAACCCAUACGCAGAUUUACCUCUUAUACAAAAGGUUAAAAUAAAUAAUUAAUAGUAAUAGGAUAUGUUAUAUAUAUAUAUAUAAACAUAUACAUGUAUAUAUAUGUGUGUACAAGUUAAAUAUGAAAAUAGUGUUGAAAAAAAAAAAAAAAUCUAUAAAAAGUUUAGAUAUUAAUAAAUUAUCACUUUUUUUCUCA
Molecule: long non-coding RNA, 2578 nt
Organism: Piliocolobus tephrosceles (Ugandan red Colobus)
Lineage: Eukaryota; Metazoa; Chordata; Mammalia; Primates; Cercopithecidae
Source: Ensembl